GUGGAUGCCAGGGUAGGUGAAAAAGAAACGAAACCGAACACAAUAGAGGAUUCAAAGCCGGUCGAAAUUGGCCGAUGCGGUUGUUGCUGUCGUCAUAACUUGUGGGGAUGCGGUUUGCACUGUUGUGACGGUAGAGGACCUGGCACUGGCUGUCCAAACCGGCCACCUAAUGCAGCCACCACUACAGGUGUCGGAGGCGGUAUUCCGGGUGUUGGAGGAGGCAGUCCGAGUGUAGGAGUAGGUGAAAAAGAAACGAAACCAAACCCAGUAGAGGAUUCAAAGCCGGUCGACAUUGGCCGAUGCGGGUGUUGCUGUCGUCAUAAUUUGUGGGGAUGCGGUUUGCACUGUUGUGACGGUAGAGGACCUGGCACUGGCUGUAAUGUAGCCAGGACUACAGGUGUUGGCGGCAUUCCAGAUCUUGGGGUCGGCAUUCCGGGUGUUGGAGGCGGCAUUCCAGGUGUCGGAGGAGGCAUUCCGGGUGUCGGAGGAGGCGGCAUUCCGGGUGUCGGAGGA
This 513-nucleotide long non-coding RNA is filed under the name Fragaria vesca (wild strawberry). RNAcentral describes it as "long non-coding RNA (FVES_LNC001116)". The record is from RNAcentral. Lineage: Eukaryota; Viridiplantae; Streptophyta; Magnoliopsida; Rosales; Rosaceae.